RNAcentral lists this ribosomal RNA (325 nucleotides) under uncultured bacterium. Its description in RNAcentral is "bacterial SSU rRNA". It matches the Rfam family "Bacterial small subunit ribosomal RNA", at positions 32 to 339 of the family's 1533-position model. The record is from RNAcentral.
AAUCAACGCUGGCGGCGUGCCUAACACAUGCAAGUCGCGCGCGAAAGGGGGGGCAACUCCCGAGUAAAGCGGCGAACGGGUGAGUAACACGUGGGUAAUCUACCUUCGAGUGGGGAACAACACCGGGAAACUGGUGCUAAUUCCGCAUGACAUCGUCGGGGCUUCGGUUCUGACGCUCAAAGCUGGGGAUCGCAAGACCUAGCGCUUGAAGAUGAGCCCGCGUCCGAUUAGCAGUUGGCGGGGUAAUGGCCCACCAAGGCUUCGAUCGGUAGCCGGCCUGAGAGGGCGGACGGCCACACUGGAACUGAGACACGGUCCAGACUCC